This is a long non-coding RNA of Ruditapes philippinarum (Manila clam), 946 nucleotides long. RefSeq lists it as uncharacterized. The transcript is spliced from 3 exons. NCBI's taxonomy places the organism in Eukaryota, Metazoa, Mollusca, Bivalvia, Venerida, Veneridae. The record is from RefSeq and is a predicted model, not a curated record.
CUGGCAGUAAAACAGCGCUUAAGUAUAUAAUAAAUGACUUGUCAGCACAUGGGGUCCCGAUUCAUACAGAGUAAUCAACGGCAAAAAUAAUUUGCUACCGUUCAUCCUAUGACAGCAAGUAAAAUUAUCACGGGAAAAGAUUUUUACGAGGACAACUGAUUACGUCAUCUGACAUUGAUUGUUGAUAAAAUAUUGGUGAAUUGAUUCGAUGUUUUUCGGUGUUUUAAAGAAUAUUCUACACUGACAACGUCUGCUUUGACAAAACUUAUAUAAAACUGGAUUAUUCGGGUUAGGCACUUCACCAUGCACUUAUGAUUUAAAGUACUCCAACCCUUGGGAUUAUGCCAAACAAGUGCAUUUUUCCCCAUCAUUCUCAACCGGUUGGUCCAAUAUGUUUUAGGACACCAAGAAAGUUCCAUGUGUUUGGUGUUUGUGUAGAGGGAUCAGGACUUCAUGGAAGUGUCAGUCUCAACAUGCUUGGUACUUUUAUAUCUGGAAAGUGAAAAACAAUGCAAAAGGUUGCCUAAAUGUACUGUCCUGAAGUCAUCAAGACAUGGGCACAAGAUCCUACAGCUUAUAGAUGAUCCAGAAAAUCCCUAGGAAGUCACUUCUUAUGUGAAACCCCUCAAACUGUUAUCAAAAUACCACCAUUUUUGUGCAAGUGCAAUGGAGCCAAGUGUUAUAACAUGUAAAGAAUAUAUUAACUCUGUGGAAGUAAAAAUGUAUUUACUGAAACAAUUGCCUCCCAGAGGUCUUUUACCUGAAGUACAGUAAUGAUGCAGCAAGACAUUAGUAUCUAUUUGAACAAUUGGGCAGUUCUUCAAAUCUGACAUAGAUAAAAUACUGUGUGGCCAAAACCAGUUAUCCCGAAAACAGAAAUAAAGUUGGAUAUUGACAAUUAUGUGAAAAAGGUGGAAAGAGAAAGAGCAGUCUUUUACUCUUGAGU